UACGGGGGGAGCAAGCGUUGUUCGGAUUUACUGGGCGUAAAGGGCGCGUAGGCGGCCACCGCAAGUCGGUUGUGAAAUCUCCGGGCUUAACUCGGAAAGGUCAACUGAUACUGUGCGACUAGAGUGCAGAAGGGGCAACUGGAAUUCUCGGUGUAGCGGUGAAAUGCGUAGAUAUCGAGAGGAACACCUGCGGCGAAGGCGGGUUGCUGGGCUGACACUGACGCUGAGGCGCGAAAGCCAGGGGAGCGAACGGG
RNAcentral lists this ribosomal RNA (254 nucleotides) under uncultured bacterium. RNAcentral describes it as "partial 16S ribosomal RNA". It matches the Rfam family "Bacterial small subunit ribosomal RNA", at positions 524 to 776 of the family's 1533-position model. The record is from RNAcentral.